This 55-nucleotide small RNA is filed under the name uncultured Sporosarcina sp. RNAcentral describes it as "Bacillaceae-1 RNA". It matches the Rfam family "Bacillaceae-1 RNA", at positions 12 to 66 of the family's 67-position model. Lineage: Bacteria; Bacillati; Bacillota; Bacilli; Caryophanales; Caryophanaceae. The record is from RNAcentral.
ACAACCUAAGUACGCGGCGUCCUGCCGCAACGGUUGCAUGACCUGCAUCCUGCAG